GACGAACGCUGGCGGCGUGCCUAACACAUGCAAGUCGAACGGAACUGUUUUGAAAGAUUUCUUCGGAAUGAAUUUGAUUUAGUUUAGUGGCGGACGGGUGAGUAACGCGUGAGUAACCUGCCUUCAAGAAGGGAAUAACAUUCUGAAAAGAAUGCUAAUACCGCAUGACAUAUCGGAACCACAUGGUUUUGAUAUCAAAGAUUUUAUCGCUUGAAGAUGGACUCGCGUCCGAUUAGUUAGUUGGUGAGGUAACGGCUCACCAAGACCGCGAUCGGUAGCCGGACUGAGAGGUUGAACGGCCACAUUGGGACUGAGACACGGCCCAGACUCCUACGGGAGGCAGCAGUGGGGGAUAUUGCGCAAUGGGGGCAACCCUGACGCAGCAACGCCGCGUGAAGGAUGAAGGUUUUCGGAUUGUAAACUUCUUUUAUUAAGGACGAAAAAUGACGGUACUUAAUGAAUAAGCUCCGGCUAACUACGUG
This 482-nucleotide ribosomal RNA is filed under the name uncultured bacterium. RNAcentral's name for it is "partial 16S ribosomal RNA". It matches the Rfam family "Bacterial small subunit ribosomal RNA", at positions 28 to 507 of the family's 1533-position model. The record is from RNAcentral.